AUUGAACGCUGGCGGCAUGCCUUACACAUGCAAGUCGAACGGUAACAGGUCUUCGGAUGCUGACGAGUGGCGAACGGGUGAGUAAUACAUCGGAACGUGCCCGAUCGUGGGGGAUAACGAGGCGAAAGCUUUGCUAAUACCGCAUACGAUCUACGGAUGAAAGUGGGGGAUCUUCGGACCUCGCGCGGACGGAGCGGCCGAUGGCAGAUUAGGUAGUUGGUGGGAUAAAAGCUUACCAAGCCGACGAUCUGUAGCUGGUCUGAGAGGAUGAUCAGCCACACUGGGACUGAGACACGGCCCAGACUCCUACGGGAGGCAGCAGUGGGGAAUUUUGGACAAAGGGCGAAAGCCUGAUCCAGCCAUGCCGCGUGCAGGAUGAAGGCCUUUGGGUUGUAAACUGCUUUUGUACGGAACGAAAAGCCUCUUUCUAAUAAAGAGGGGUCAUGACGGUACCGUAAGAAUAAGCACCGGCUAACUACGUG
This 482-nucleotide ribosomal RNA is filed under the name uncultured bacterium. RNAcentral's name for it is "partial 16S ribosomal RNA". It matches the Rfam family "Bacterial small subunit ribosomal RNA", at positions 30 to 507 of the family's 1533-position model. The record is from RNAcentral.